GAGAUGGAGUCUCGCUCUGUCACCCAGGCUGGAGUGCAGUGGCGCGAUCUCGGCUCACUGCAAGCUCCACCUCCCAGGUUCACACCAUUCUCCUGCCUCAGCCUCCCGAGUAGCUGGGACUACAGGUGCCUGCCACCUGGCCCCGCUAAUUUUUUGUAUUUUUAGUAGAGAUGGGGUUUCACCGUGUUAGCCAGGAUGGUCUCAAUCUCCUGACCUCGUGAUCCGCCCGCCUCAGCCUCCCAAAGUGCUGGGAUUACAGGCGUGAGCCACCGCACCCGGCCUUUUUAUAGCAUAUAGAUGUUUUACUCUUUUCCACCAAUAAAUAAUAUUUAUAGUCUGAUUGUUUUUCAAAAGAAUCUCUUAACAAAAGGAUUUCACUGAACAUUAGUCAAUGCUGGGCACAUAGUAAGUGCUUAAUAUUUGUUAAAUGAGCAAAAUUUUUCCAUAUCUGAACAGGGUAUUUGACAUGGUUAUUUGCUCCUAUGAACAUUUAAUGAGGCUGUUUAAUGCUUCGACAAAUUUACCAUUGCUAAUUUUACAAUGAAAACUAUGUUAAUUUAAAUCUAACUUUGGACGUGUGGUACCGGAUAAAAGUUAAUAGCCUUUUUUUGCACAGCAAAGGAAACAAUCAACAAAAUGAAAAGGAGGCCUACGCAUUAGGAGAAAAUAUCUGCAAACCAUGUAUCUGAUAAGGGGUUAAUAUCAAAAAUAUAUAACGAUGCAAUGCCAAAAAAUUGAAUAACCUAAUUAAAAAAUGGGCAAAGAACCUGAAUAAACAUUUCUCAAAAGACAUAAAAAUGGCCAACAGGUAUAUGAAAAGAUGCUCAACAUCACUAAUCAUCAGGAAAAUGAAAAUCAAAACCACAAUAAGAUAUCACCUCACCCCUUUUAGGAUGGCUAUUAUCAAAAAAACAAGAGAUAACAAGUGUUAGUAAGAGUGGGAGGAAAAGGGAACCCUUGUACACUGUUGGUGGAAAUGCAGAUUUGUGCAGCCCGUGUGGAAAACAGUAUGGAGGUUUCUUAAGGAAUUAAAAAUAGAACUAGUAAUAUGACCCUGCAAUCCCGCCUCUUCUGAGUAUCUACUCAAAGGAAAUGAAAUCACAAUCUUAUUAAAAAAAUCUGCAUUCCCAUAUUCAUUGCAACAUUAUUCACAAUACAAGUUAUGGAAGCAACUGAAGUGCCUGUUGACGAAUAAAGAAACUAUGAUGUGGGUGUGUGUGUAUGUAAUGAAAUAUUCAUCCUUGAAAAAGAGAGAGAUCCUGCCAUUUGCAAAACAUUAAUGAACUUAGAGGACAUUAUGCUAAGUGAAAUACGCCAGACACACAGAGAAAAACACUGCAUGAUCUCACUUAUAUGUGGAAUUAAAAAAAAAACAUAAUGAAAAACCAAAAAAUGCAACAACAAAUACACAGAUAGCAACAAAGAGCAGAAUACUGGUUACCUGGGGCAGAGAAAAUGGGAAGAAUUAGGUCAAAGGGUAUAAAGUUUGCAGCUAUGUAGGCUAAAUCUAGAGAUCUAGUGUACAACAUGAGGACUAUGGUUAAUAAUAUUUUAUACUGGAAAUUUCCAAGGGAGUAGAUUUUAGAUACUCUUACUAUGAAGGAAAAGAGAAGGGAAGAGAGGGAGGGAGGGAGGGAGAGAAGGAAGGAGGGAGGGAGAGAAGUAUAUGAGAUAACAGAUAUGUUAAUUUGCUGGACUGUAGUAAUCAUUUCACUAUGUAUAUCAAAACAUCAUGUUAUAGACCUUAAGUCAUACACAGUAAUCUCUCGGUAUCCAUGGGGGAUUGGUUCCAGGACCUCCUACAGACAUCAAAAUCCAUGGAUGCUUAAAUCCCUGAUAAAAGAGGGCACAGUAUUUGUAUAUAACCUAUGCAUAACCUUCCAUGUACUUUAAAUCAUCUCUAGAUUACUUGUAAUACCUAAUACAAUGUAAAUCCUAUGUAAAUAGUUAUUACACUAUAUUACUUAGGGCAGGGUGAUGAGAACAAAAGUCUGUACAUGUUCAGUACAGAUGCAAUUUUUUUAAGAAUAUUUUUGAUCCAUGGUUGGUUGAAUCCACACAUAUGCAGAACCCAGAGAUAUGAAGGGCCAACUGUUCAAUUAAAAAAAGCUAACGGGUACUAAUAGCUAUGGAGAAUGUAUACAUUAUUACAGAAAUGUUUUGGCAACUCAAAAAAAAGUCAAGGGUUUUCAUACCUUUCUUUUUUUACAUUAAAAACCACAAUUAUAAAAAAUGUUCAAUACAUUUAUCACCUGGAUUGUUACAACACUGUAUCUAGAUGUAUCCAGAAAACACUUCUGAUUGAAAAAAAAAUACCACAAUCAACUCAUUAAUUUCCUUCUGGUUAGUAUUUGAAUCUGUUGUAAAUUCGGCUGUAGUUGGACAAAACAGUUGCAUCAACAGAUAUGUAAAGCAUGCCCUAUUUGAUCUUAAAUGAGUUUAAAUGGCAGAACUAUUUUACAGAACUACAUUAUUAUCUACCUCAGAAAUUCAUUAACAUUACAAUAAAAUACAUCACAUUUGUGGAAUAUAGAGACAAAUUAGAAAAAGAUUUGUUCUCAAGAAGCUCAUGGUCUAUACUUCUUAAAUAUUAUAUCAAUAGAAAAUUUAACUUCAUAUCUCUAGUAUAUUUAUUCAUAAAUGACAUACAUGGGCUCCAAAUCUAUAAAGCAAAUAUUAGUGAAGUACACUUUUCCUUAUUUCAGAUAAAAACCAAAGGGAUAAAACUCUAUUAUUUUCUUCCCACCCAUACCUACAAACCAAGGAACACCAAACAUUGCCAGCAACCCACUGGAAGCGAGGUGAAAAGGCAUGCAACAGAUUCGUUCUCACAGCCCUCAGAAGGAAACAACCCCGUUGACACCUUCUAACUUCCAGAACUGUGAAACAAUACAUUUCUGUUGUCUAAGCCACCCAGUCAGUGGUUCUUUGUUAUAGCAGCCCUGGUAAAAUAAAACCCUGAACAAGGUGCUGCAGUGGAGCAGCCUGUAACCUUGCUGACUGGAAGAACAAGAAUGCAAAGGAAAGAUAUAGUUGAUUACUAUGAGCUAAGUAGACACCAAAAAAGAGAACCAGGUCUAUAUCGUGGAUGCUGGAUCUCCAACACCAAAGAACUAUUCAGUAGGGAAGCUUCCUAUGGGCCCCUCUGAAGAGUUUGCACCCUUCUACCUGUAACAGAACCAGCACUGGAACACACGCAGAAGGCAUUCAAAUUCACGGCCAAUGUUAGCUAGAGAAGCAACAAUAACCAACAGGGGCUUGUAAUUUCAUGUCUGGCUAAGUAAAAACUGUGGCAUCAGACCAGAACACCUUUUCUCCAAUCCUGUCUCCCUACUCCAAUGCCAGAAGGGUUAGAAGUUGAAGAGGGUAGAGCAGGGGUGGAGGAGUGAAAGAACUGGCUGGCUAUCUCCUACUCCAUGGUGGGGUUGGGGGUGGAGUUAAAUAGGAUAUGAGAUAAAAUUUUAAUCAAGUAGAUUAAAUUAACUUUAAUUACUGAAAGUAAAGUAAACAACGAUUGGCUCCCCAUCAUAGAGAUCAGCUUUCUAGCAGUGAUAGCACAAUUGUGGGCAAGAACUGGGGUAAAUAAAACCCCCACUCUUCACCCCUUACACCCAGAGGCAGACUCAUGUGUUGUGGGACCUGAAGCUUAUAUAAUCUGUGAGUCCAUAUGUUAAAAAAAUCACAAAAUUGCAAACACAAUUUUUUUUCUUCUUCUAUCAUUUAUUAAGGUCUCAUACGCUAAAAAGAUCUUAAGGUUUGGGGUCAACAGAGGCCGCUGUAAGACAGGAGAAAUUAAUUCAACAACAGUAACAUCAAAGGUUUAUCAAAGAUCUACAGUCAUUUAUAACAAAAUCAGAGUUCACCAUCAUCAUCUGACUACAGCAUAGAAUAAAUGGUAGUAAGUUGCUGCCUUGCUUUCCCUAAUUGCAUCUUCAUUUUACAGCAGUAGUGUAAUUAGCUGGCAUGAAGAGAGACCCCAAGUUUUUCUGCACAUAGUUAAUAAAUAAUAAAAAUUUAAGUAUCUUGGGAAAUUCCAAAAUGAUGUUUUGUAAAAUGAAAGUAGAUAAGCAGAGUAAAAAGAUGAGCACAAGGUCGGUAUGCUGGAUGACAAAACACAAAAAAUUCUAAGGCUUUAAGAAUACUGCAAAGAACAAAUUUGUAUUUUCAAUGACCUGCUAUAUUUAAGUUUCCUGGCUUUACUUUUGUGACUUGGGAGAAAUGAAUAAAUAUUUUAAUACAACAUCAUUAUGACACUGUAUUAAGAGAUUAAAAGGUAAAAACAAAAUGAUUAUAUCAGUACAUGCUGAAAAGGCAACUGACAAAAUCCUGUAUUUGGCCUUUUAUUAAUGUAUUUACUUUUCCAAAUGAAUGGUAGCCAAAUACCUUUUGAAAGGAAAAACUAAUUAGAAUUCCCUAUAUCAGUAAGAGAAAAACAUUAAAAUCUAUAAUCAUUAAAAUACUGUGACAUUGAUAUAGAAAUAGAUCAGUAGAGUAGAAAAAGACAUAUAGACAUUUAGCUGAUGAUAAAGGGUAGCUUUUACAUCACUGUGCAAAGAACUGACCAUUCGAAAAAAAAAAAAGCACUGAAACAACUAGCUAUAUGGCUGAAAAAAAAUCUCAUUUCACAUAACCAAAAAUAAAUUCCGGAUAAAGACAUAAACUGAAGUUGAAAAAGGCUUUCUAAGCAUGACACAAAAGCGAGAAAUUACAAUGGAAAAGAGAGACAGAUUGAACAAUAAAAAAUUAAAAGCUUCA
Molecule: long non-coding RNA, 4755 nt
Filed under: Homo sapiens (human)
Lineage: Eukaryota; Metazoa; Chordata; Mammalia; Primates; Hominidae
Description: non-protein coding lnc-CLEC20A-5:1
Source: RNAcentral